CUGUUAAAUGUGGCUGUAGGUUUUGCAGUACAGUACAGCUAAAUUCUACAGUAUGAUACAAUAUCAUGUCUUUACAGCACAGUGUUGUAGUUAAUGUUGCAUUCUGGGUAAUAUUAUUGACGCGGGAAUAUAUUACAGUACAUUUCCCCGCAUACUGUAACUUUGCUGCCACCUUGCUGUAAUAUCGAGAACGAAGUUCUGCCAACCCGACGACUUUACUCCUCUUCUGAAGACAUGACCCAUAGUGGAAUGAGCGCAAGUCAUUGAAAUUUGUUCACUGAAGCCGUGGCAGAGGUAGAGGGGCACGAGAGAUUGCCUGACACACCCAGACUCAUUAUGGUUGGACCCUCGCUCAUGACAGCAAAAAGAUGGAUGGUGUCCAUUGAAGGAAGAGUUGCUAUUACAUUCACUGGAUCAGACAGUUUUCCUGCUGCUUUCGCCACUCUUUUUGCAUCGUAUUACGUCUUAAACAUGGAAUACCAAGAGUCAGCUGCAUGCACUUUGGAGCUUGUUCAAAGAUUUCUGGUGAGAAUUAAUCCGGAAGAUGGAAAGAAAUGCACAGCCCGACAGGGAGUGAGCAAGAAGACCGGACGAAUUGUCCAGAAAAAAGCACCACCCAUCAACUCCCACGUUAAUAACUUCAUUCGCUCCUUGCUGGACUUUGAAUGGCAGACCUCUAACUAAGCAGUUACAUCUAACAGGUUUUGUGUGUGUGUGUGUGUGAGAGAGAGAGGGGGGGGGGUUAAAUGUUUGUGUGUGCAUGUAUGUAUGUGAUACCACUUGUGUGAGCAGCUCAGAGAAGAAAGGGAAAAAAAAGCAGGGGAGAGAGGUGUCUUUGAGUGAUGUUUGUAUCAGUGAGUGGGUGGGGGUGGGGACUGAUUUACUUGUUUCAGACUUUUGAGUUAAAAUAGUUCUGCUUUAAACAUUACACUAGAUUGUGUGUGACGUCACAGUGCCAGAUGAAAAACAAAAUGAAAAAAGAUGAGAAGGAAGGUGUGUGUGUGUGUAUACGUGGAGGAGAACCUGUUUCAAACUUUUGUUUGUUUAAAUACUUGAAGUAAUACAAGUUCUGUUUGAAACUUGACAGUCUGCUCUGUACUUUUUAAAAUGUAAAAUUAUUGAAGCAACAACUGUUCAAAAUGUUGCCUUUGCAUGAGUAAGAAGAGUGACUCUCGUUAAUGGUUUUAAUGCAAUGUGUGUGUGUGUGUGUGUGUGUGUGUGGCUAUAGGUAGAGGAGGACCUGUGUCUCAAACUAAUGUAAUUAGUUGUUUAAAUACUUGAUUAAAUACUAGCUCUGCUUUAAACUAAAAUAAUUGAAGCAACACCUUAAUGUGGAAAUCGUUGCCUUUGCAGAGAGUCUCGGUCGGUCUCUCUCUGUGUAGCAAAAGUUAAUGAUAUUGUAAUGUGUUUCAGUGUUUUUAAUGUGUUUCAGUGUUUCAGCUUGUGUAAAAUGAAUGAAAUAUCUUCAAGAAUGAUAAAUAAAAGAUUGUUUUGUGUGACUUAA
Alosa sapidissima (American shad) is the source of this 1504-nucleotide long non-coding RNA. RefSeq lists it as uncharacterized. Lineage: Eukaryota; Metazoa; Chordata; Actinopteri; Clupeiformes; Clupeidae. The record is from RefSeq and is a predicted model, not a curated record. The transcript is spliced from 4 exons.